AAUACUACUGAAGUGAAACUCGUUAAAGCUUAUAACAUCAAUAACAUCCAAAUUAACAACUAAAAAUUUGCGUAAUUAAGCUCCAUGUAAAAACGGAAUGUCAAUGGAGUCAAAAACCUUUUAUUGAACUACACAUUAUCAACAACAGGUAAAAAGUUCACCACGCAAAAAUACCCAAAAAAGUUUUUGGAUCCAAAGAGUCAAACGUCAUAACCAGAUCAUGAUUCUACUCCGAUUCCCCAGAACCAGAGGUGCCAAGUUUCUCCAUCUCGAGGCGUUCGAGGGCUUUCUGGUGCGCCCAGGUCUCGAUGGACAAAUCGGGCUUGGCGUUCAACCCAACACCGAGAAUCACAAUGGUUAGGAAGCUGGUGAUGUAGCAGGGGAGCUCCCAGUCCUCCCACUUACGGGACUGCCCUGGUGGAGGCGGGGUCCGGUUGAAUAGGUAACCCUUGGGCCUCUCCUCGUGGCCUGGAGAUGUCCACCGGCUGGGACCUGCCGCGGCACCUCCGCGUGUACGGAGGGAGGAUGCUAGGCGCUGGCGGAGCAUCGAUGACGCCGUCGUGAAGGGUUGUAGAGAGGGCAUGGAUUUUGCCUGCAGAGUGACUAGGAGUCUGGAGGGAGAGGGACGCGCUGCGGAGACUGAAC
This 645-nucleotide unclassified non-coding RNA is filed under the name Hevea brasiliensis (rubber tree). The record is from RNAcentral. Lineage: Eukaryota; Viridiplantae; Streptophyta; Magnoliopsida; Malpighiales; Euphorbiaceae.